AACGAACGCUGGCGGCAGGCCUAACACAUGCAAGUCGAACGCUGUAGCAAUACAGAGUGGCAGACGGGUGAGUAACACGUGGGAAUCUUCCUAUCGGUACGGAAUAGCUCAGGGAAACUUGGGGUAAUACCGCAUACGCCCUUCGGGGGAAAGAUUUAUCGCCGAUAGAUGAGCCCGCGUCUGAUUAGCUAGUUGGUGAGGUAAUGGCUCACCAAGGCGACGAUCAGUAGCUGGUCUGAGAGGAUGACCAGCCACACUGGGACUGAGACACGGCCCAGACUCCUACGGGAGGCAGCAGUGGGGAAUAUUGGACAAUGGGCGCAAGCCUGAUCCAGCCAUGCCGCGUGAGUGACGAAGGUCUUCGGAUUGUAAAGCUCUUUUGGCGGGGACGAUAAUGACGGUACCCGCAGAAUAAGCCCCGGCUAACUUCGUGCCAGCCGCCGCCGUAACAC
RNAcentral lists this ribosomal RNA (452 nucleotides) under uncultured bacterium. RNAcentral's name for it is "bacterial SSU rRNA". It matches the Rfam family "Bacterial small subunit ribosomal RNA", at positions 29 to 526 of the family's 1533-position model. The record is from RNAcentral.